This is a long non-coding RNA of Acinonyx jubatus (cheetah), 3746 nucleotides long. RefSeq lists it as uncharacterized. The record is from RefSeq and is a predicted model, not a curated record. Lineage: Eukaryota; Metazoa; Chordata; Mammalia; Carnivora; Felidae. The transcript has 2 exons.
AUAAGAGCUGAAGGCAAAUAGAGCAUGAAGGAUAGAUGAGAUAGGAGAGGGGCUAACCAGAAAAGCUGGAAAAGAAGAAGUUCAUGGGCUGUGGAGGGCAGGAAGAAGAAUCCUAAAGAGGAUUUGAAAGAGGGAGAAAUUAUUGGGGGCAGAGGUGGGAAUAGAGGCACUGUCCUGGUAAGAGCAGCACUGGCCCUCUCUCUCAGAAGUGACUGACUAUGCAUGGGGAGGAUGGUAUUUGAUCAAGUUAGAGCACGUGCGCACGCACACACACACACACAUACACACACUCACCAAAUUAUUAGAGGAAUGGGGAAAUCUCAUUUCAAUAAUAGGGAAAGGAGAGAAUUGAAUGGUUUGGUAGUCAAGAAGGAAAGUAGUGUUCACUCUUACCUCAUGGAGCAGGAGUGAGAGCCCCUGGUUAAGAGAAGCUGGGACCUCAGAAUCAUAGUGUGUCACACUUGCCAACAUGGCCACAUGAUCCCUCUCUGCAGCCACUGGGAACUGAGUUAAGAGGUGGGGAAUGGGGGUGGGGGGCAGUGGUAGCAUUGUUUAGUAGGAAUAAGGCAAGAUUUCCUAAGUUCUUCCCACUACAGGGCAGAGCUCCUCUCUUUGCCCAACAUCCCUACCAUCUUCUCACCUUCCCAGUUGCCAGACAGAAAAGCAAGACACCCAGGGACCACCAGUCAGCAGCAUGGUUGUAAGGCCCUCCACUCAGGACCUCUGGGGCUAGAUUUGAAAGACAGGUGUCACUGACAUCAAUUGGCUGUCCUCUGCCAAUGCUUCCCUACCAGUUUUAGCCCCUGUCUCACCCAUGUACUGAAGGGUGCCACAGAUAGUAUAGGCUCGGGCUCCCUGGGGCAGGUGGCGGGACAAACCAAAGUCUGUCAGUUUCACAUGGCCUGUGAAAGAUAAGGCAACAGCACCACUCUGUUCCACCCCUUGUCAGCCAUGACAUAUUCCCAAACUGACAGUACCUCUAAUUCUGGGGCUAGGAAAAGGAAAGGACUUACCUCGUUCAUCCAGAAGGAUAUUCUCCAUCUGAAAAAUCACAAGUGAGAGGUUAUUCAUCUUCCUUUUAACCUUCUUUUAUCAUAUAUACCUGUCCGCUGAGGAAGAUGCCCUAUUCAGCAUUCAAGUCUAUACUUUGAGGGCUCUUGCCCAAAUCCUUAGCACCCUUGAGGGCCCCAAGGUCAGCUAUCCUCAUCUCCCCUCUCCCUUCUUAGAUCUGUUGGUACUUCUUACUGAUGCCCCACUUCAGACAGAGAAAAAGUGCUUAACUCUACCUUCACAUCUCGGUGGAUGAUGCCCAAAUCAUGGAGAUAGCCUGUGGAUGACAGCAAGUAAUGGGGUGUGCUAAAGCUCUCCUGUCUUUCCAGUUUCCCUGGUAGUUCCCAUCCCAUCCCUAUUCCUGUUCUUUGACCUCCAGAGUUAAUACCACUUCUCUCUGCCCCUCCCCCUUAAGUCUUCCCUCAUUUCCAUUACCAUUUCUGUUUCACUUACACAGCACCAGAACCAGUUCAGCAGCAAAGAGGCGGAUGGAAGCCUCAGUCAAGCAGCCGACAGAGGACCACAGGGAGCACAGAUCUGUACUGCAGUAGCUGCACACUGCAAAGGACCAGAAGUCUAGGGUGCUAGGAAAGGCAGGAAAUGAAUAUGAGUUCUUGAAACCAUCAGAAGAAACUUAGAACCCCAAACAUCUCCAUCUCCUUUCAUCCCUGGAAAAGACUCAGGAAACAGAAGAAAUCUUCAGCUGACCCAAACAGAACCCUAGGAUUCUUCCAUCUUUCUGUCAUUAGGGGCAUGUCUGGUACCUCAGGUACUUUCCGAAAUGAUCUUCUGACACCAGAACUCCGAUUUAAGCCUUGUGCAACACCCUUCCCAGGGCCCAGUGGUGCUGCAUCAUCUGUUGCAAUCAGCUGCCGAGGCUUAACCACUGGUAUUCCUAUGAAAAAGCAAGCACACCAGCUGUUGUCCUCUUUCUGAAGCUUCAGCUAUCUCUGAGGCUGCUACCCCAGUCUUCCGGAUCUCCACCAUAAAAGUUCUCACCAGUAGUCACCAGUUUGGACUUAUCUUCUUCAUCACCAACCUCAUCAUCUUCUACGCUUCGGCCAGGAAAGAAAAAGCCCAUUAUUCUAUGGAAGAACUGGUGUGUCAGCUGGAUGGUGAGAGGCACCACAUUUACCUAAAGAGGAAAAAGGCUGAAGAAGCAAUUAAGCUCAGACAUCAUCCCUCAGUUUACCUACCCCUAAUGUAACAUUGACACACAGAUAGCUUUUGAGUGCCCUUUGUUCCUGGGUCCCCAAAGGACUGUUUACUAACCUCAAAGUGUUCCUUAACAGAAAUACCCCCAACAGGGGGCCGGACUUUGCUGAAAAGGCGGAGGGCUAGCUGUCGCCCAGAUUGGCAGGAGCUCUGGGGCCGUAGGACUACCUGUAAGAUAAAGAGUGAUAAAUCUACCCACAAAUCCCUGCAGACUAAGAGGAAAAGCAACAGUCUUGCUAAGCUAGACAAGCUUUCACCUCUCAGAUCACCACAGUAUUUCCCUUAGUGGGUUUAUGGGGAAGGGCCAUUACAAAUGCCCUGUGUUAGGAAGCAUGAGAAUGGGGCAGGAAUGGGGAAAUAAGACUUGCCUUAUAGACAGCAUUGGGGAGGAGGUUGUUCAUAGUGAACCAGCCCAAUUCCAGAAGAUGUUCUGCUGUGUCAUCAGACUUAUUCACCUAUAAAGACAGAUUCCCCCCCACCCCCACCCCACACACUAUUAUAAGUCUUUCUCAGGAGCUUGCUAGAGAAUUGCUACAUAUCCUGUUUUCAGGUUCUCCAUAUGUUUAAUCCCAACCUUUGGUAUCCCUUUCAUCUCCAUACAGUCAAUUCACCCUUUAAUCCAGUGUUUCUCAUGGACACUACUAACAAGAGCACUAAGUGCCAGUAAUCCUUCCCAAUUACUGUGAUAGUCAAAUAUGGUCUCACUCAUUUCCAAACUCCCAGGGGGAAGGAGUGUGGAAUAAUGAAUCAUGUCUUCUCCUCCAUUUAUUGCAGGAAAGCUGAAUGUCAGUAUAGAAUUAAUUCUAUUCCAAGCUGGUAUUGGAAGAUUACUUCUUUCUGGGCCAUAUUUCUAGGGAUAAUCUUAUUCAAUGAAAGAAGCAUUUGAUCAAGCUCAUCUAUAUCUGUAUUAUUUAAUAUUACAAACAACUAUGUCUAAAGGGAACUCUGCUCAUGUAUCAUCAUUAAUAACCAUUAAUACCAGCAUUAGUAAUCAUAUAAUAAUUAGCCUCUUUGUUUCUCCGAGUUAAGACUCCUGUGAUAGGUCAAUGUCUCUCAAUACAGCUGCCUUUAUGUGACUGUAUACACCCGAUACCUUGCUGUAGAGGAACCGCUGCAGCUCUAGUUCAGCAAUUCCUAGCUGUCCAUCUUCCUCUGUCAGACGCCAUCGUGCCUGAGCAAAGUAGAACUCAGUGCGACGAACCACACUCACAUCUUCUUGUUGUUUUCGCAACUCCAUCUUAUUGGCCUGCUGCAAUUGGAAAUCCUUAAAACACCUAUAAAUGGACAGGAGGGCCAAAGCCAAUAAGGGUAACAGCAUUUGGGUUGGGGGUGGGGUAGAAUGCUCUAGAAUGAUGCAGGAGGUAAAUCCAGAGAUGGACCUAUUUUGGGACAGCUAUUCCCUAUUUUUUUCACUGGAUUCAUGCUCCUCACACCCUGGGCCAUGGGAGAAUAAAUCCCAUCUUUCAAAUUUUUCAAUUCCA